This 440-nucleotide ribosomal RNA is filed under the name uncultured bacterium. Its description in RNAcentral is "bacterial SSU rRNA". It matches the Rfam family "Bacterial small subunit ribosomal RNA", at positions 338 to 795 of the family's 1533-position model. The record is from RNAcentral.
CCUACGGGGGGCUGCAGUGGGGAAUAUUGCACAAUGGGGGAAACCCUGAUGCAGCAACGCCGCGUGAGCGAUGAAGGCCUUCGGGUCGUAAAGCUCUGUCCUAAGGGAAGAAUACUGACGGUACCUUAGGAGGAAGCCCCGGCUAACUACGUGCCAGCGGCCGCGGUAAUACGUAGGGGGCUAGCGUUAUCCGGAAUUACUGGGCGUAAAGGGUGCGUAGGCGGCCCUUCAAGUCAGAGGUGAAAGGCUACGGCUCAACCGUAGUAAGCCUUUGAAACUGUGGGGCUUGAGGGAAGGAGAGGGGAGGGGAAUUCCCAGUGUGGGGGUGAAAGGGUUAGAUAUGGGGAGAAACACCAGUUGCGAAGGCGGCUCUCUGGAUUGUAACUGACGGUGGGGCACGAAAGCGUGGGGGGCGAACAGGAUUAGAUCCCCGAGUAGUC